GCCGGGGAUAGCUCAGUUGGUAGAGC
This 26-nucleotide transfer RNA is filed under the name Bryopteris filicina. Its description in RNAcentral is "partial transfer RNA-Phe". The record is from RNAcentral. Lineage: Eukaryota; Viridiplantae; Streptophyta; Jungermanniopsida; Porellales; Lejeuneaceae.